Molecule: unclassified non-coding RNA, 368 nt
Filed under: Melitaea cinxia (Glanville fritillary)
Lineage: Eukaryota; Metazoa; Arthropoda; Insecta; Lepidoptera; Nymphalidae
Description: misc RNA ENSMCXG00005001075.1
Source: RNAcentral
ACAUUUUACUUUUGUUACAAAUAUAACCUAAUCGUAAACCAGUGCGCAGAUUUAAUUUUAUCCUAUUAGUACAAUAAUAAUUAGGAUGGACAAUUAAAACACAAACUAGGUAGGAUGAAAUAGAUUGUGUAGAUUACGAUACGAUCAUAUAAGUCGUCAACAAGUCGAGAGACUCAAAAAUACUUUCCUGCACGCCUACAUACUCGUCCAAAACAUUUAUAAAACAAUAAGUGAUGCAGAUGAUGUUCCGUUCCAAUUGAAAACAAUAAUUGAUAGUUUGACACAUCCAUUCAAUUAAAUUCAAAUGAUUCUUUAAUAGAUGAAGUGAACCGUUUUUUUUUUCAUCUUAAACAAUUUUCUAAUGUGAA